This 88-nucleotide transfer RNA is filed under the name Dehalococcoidia bacterium SM23_28_2. RNAcentral's name for it is "tRNA-Ser". The record is from RNAcentral. Lineage: Bacteria; Bacillati; Chloroflexota; Dehalococcoidia.
GGAGGGAUCGCAUAGAGGCUGAGUGCGCCCGCCUGCUAAGCGGGUAGGGGGUGAAUAGCCCCCUCAUGGGUUCGAAUCACGGCCUUUG